This 21-nucleotide unclassified non-coding RNA is filed under the name Mus musculus (house mouse). RNAcentral's name for it is "oocyte_clustered_small_RNA13127". Lineage: Eukaryota; Metazoa; Chordata; Mammalia; Rodentia; Muridae. The record is from RNAcentral.
UGGCCACUUCUUGAACCUGUG